Molecule: long non-coding RNA, 564 nt
Filed under: Mytilus galloprovincialis (Mediterranean mussel)
Lineage: Eukaryota; Metazoa; Mollusca; Bivalvia; Mytilida; Mytilidae
Source: RNAcentral
AAAACCUGUGUGACUGACAUUAAGAUCAUUAAAUAUUUGCAUACACCAAAUAUAGUUGACCUAUGGCAUAUAGUAUUAGAUAAAAAGACCAAAACUCAAAAACUUAACUUUGACCACUGAACCAUGAAAAUGAGGUCAAGGUCACAUGACAUCUGCCCGCUAGACAUGUACACCUUACAAUCAUUCCAUACAACAAAUAUAGUAGACCUAUUGCAUAUAGUAUGAGAACAACAGACCAAAACACAAAAACUUAACUAUAACCACUGAACCAUGAAAAUGAGGUCAAGGUCAGAUGACACCUGCCAGUUGGACAUGUACACCUUACAGUCCUUCCAUACACCGAAUAUACUAGCCCUAUUGCUUAUAGUAUCUGAGAUAUGGACUUGACCACCAAAACUUAACCUUGUUCACUGAUCCAUGAAAUGAGGUCGAGGUCAAGUGAAAACUGUCUGACAGACAUUUAGGACCUUGCAAGUACGCACAUAUCAAAUAUAGUUAUCCUAUUACUUAUAAUAAGAGAGAAUUCAACAUUACAAAAAAUUUGAACUUUUUUUUCAAGUGUUC